RNAcentral lists this ribosomal RNA (908 nucleotides) under uncultured bacterium. RNAcentral's name for it is "bacterial SSU rRNA". It matches the Rfam family "Bacterial small subunit ribosomal RNA", at positions 1 to 954 of the family's 1533-position model. The record is from RNAcentral.
GCUUAGAGUUUGAUCCUGGCUCAGGAUGAACGCUGGCGGUAUGCUUAACACAUGCAAGUCGAACGGAGUACUUCGGUACUUAGUGGCGGACGGGUGAGUAACGCGUGAGAAUCUGCCUUCAGGAUGGGGAUAACAGUGGGAAACCAUUGCUAAUACCCAAUGAGCCGAGAGGUAAAAAAUUUAUUGCCUGAAGAGGAGCUCGCGUCCGAUUAGUUAGUUGGUGGGGUAAAGGCUUACCAAGACGGCGAUCGGUAGCUGGUCUGAGAGGAUGAGCAGCCACACUGGGACUGAGACACGGCCCAGACUCCUACGGGAGGCAGCAGUGGGGAAUUUUCCGCAAUGGGCGCAAGCCUGACGGAGCAAUACCGCGUGAGGGAGGAAGGCCUUUGGGUUGUAAACCUCUUUUCUUAAGGAAGAAGAUCUGACGGUACUUAAGGAAUCAGCAUCGGCUAACUCCGUGCCAGCAGCCGCGGUAAUACGGAGGAUGCAAGCGUUAUCCGGAAUUAUUGGGCGUAAAGCGUCCGCAGGCGGCACUAUAAGUCUGCUGUCAAAGACCGCAGCUCAACUGCGGAAAGGCAGUGGAAACUGUAGAGCUAGAGUACGGUAGGGGUAGAGGGAAUUCCCAGUGUAGCGGUGAAAUGCGUAGAGAUUGGGAAGAACACCAGUGGCGAAAGCGCUCUACUGGGCCGUAACUGACGCUCAGGGACGAAAGCUAGGGGAGCGAAAGGGAUUAGAUACCCCUGUAGUCCUAGCUGUAAACGAUGGAUACUAGGCGUAGCUUGUAUCGACCCGAGCUGUGCCGAAGCUAACGCGUUAAGUAUCCCGCCUGGGGAGUACGCACGCAAGUGUGAAACUCAAAGGAAUUGACGGGGGCCCCGCACAGCGGUGGAGUAUGUGGUUUAAUUCGA